RNAcentral lists this long non-coding RNA (1207 nucleotides) under Heterocephalus glaber (naked mole-rat). RNAcentral describes it as "lncRNA (ENSHGLG00000042069.1)". The record is from RNAcentral. Lineage: Eukaryota; Metazoa; Chordata; Mammalia; Rodentia; Bathyergidae.
GUUGAGAACUGUUCUGCGCAUGUGUCCUGGGAUUACUAGAUUGCGCCUACUUUGUCAUCCAGUUUUAGCCAUACCCUACCUUCCUACCUCAGUAGGAUAUGAUUUGGUGAUUCUAUAUGCUAACCUGUAGAGGAGAGUCUGUAUUAGGAAAGACGUGGAGAAGAACUGCGUUUCUCCUCUGCUAUGCAUUAGAACUCUAGAUGCCGUAUGUGGAAGUUGAGCUCUCCUGCUGGAGAGGCCAUGGAAGAAAAUCAAGGUGCUCUCAUUGACAGCCCAAUUGUCAGCCAUGUGAGCAAGACUGUCCAGGUCCAACCAGCCACCAGUUGACCCACCGAGAUCUGCCAACAGAUUGGAAAUGCCACACGAGUCCAACUGAGAUCAUAUGGAGCAGAUAUGGGCUUUCCCAGCUGAACUCAGCCCAAAUUACUGACCUAAAAAGUUGAGGAUAAAUAAGUAACAGUCAUUUUAAGCUACUAAGCUUUGGGAGUGAUUUGUUACACAGUAAUAGGCCAAGCACAGAAAAGAUGAGUACCUAAGGAUCCUGAGGCUGUGUUUCAAGCAUAGAUAUACCCAUUUGCCUUUGUAUGAAGUGCUUAUUCUGAAAUUAACCACAACACAGAGCCUUUUGAGGUUAUGGUAAAUGGACACUGAGAAUUUGAAGAACUGGCUGACAACACUACAGGAAUGGGAGUGGUGCUGCAGUCUGAAGAAUUCCCCUUGAGCCUUUGUAUCUUGGUGGUAGGGAGUGACAGACAAAGAACUUUCUCUGUAUCCUGCUUUGGGUCAAAACCAAAAUGGCAAUGAAAGUGAUCUCUAUAUCCAAACAUUGUUAGAGAAGAAGAUAAAUCACUACAUCUUUUGAAACAUUGCCUGCAAGCUGCCCAGAAGUGGAUUUGAGAAUGUGUUUGGAGCCUGAGGGAAAGCAGCUUUGUACAUGAUUCUCAAUACUUGCAAUUAUUCUAAUGAUCUCCCCAGAUGAUAUGCAGGUAAGAAUCCAAAUGUCCAGCACUGUAGGUUAUUAGCAGCCAAUUCAGAUCAGAUGAGGAACCAUAAACUUACCCAUUUUGAACAUUGUGUGGCCAAUCUAAUAUUUUGCUAAAAUUUAUCUUUUUAAAUUUAAGCUGUAUGGACCAGUAAGAAAAUAAUAAUUUGUAAUUGUAGUUAUCAGAAACAAUUUUGGUGAACACGCUUCUAAUCUUUAUGGGGG